AUACGUAGGUGGCAAGCGUUGUCCGGAAUUAUUGGGCGUAAAGCGCGCGCAGGUGGUUCCUUAAGUCUGAUGUGAAAGCCCCCGGCUCAACCGGGGAGGGUCAUUGGAAACUGGGGAACUUGAGUGCAGAAGAGGAUAGUGGAAUUCCAAGUGUAGCGGUGAAAUGCGUAGAGAUUUGGAGGAACACCAGUGGCGAAGGCGACUGUCUGGUCUGUAACUGACACUGAGGCGCGAAAGCGUAGGGAGCAAACAGGAUUAGAUACCCUGGUAGUCCACGCCGUAAACGAUGAGUGCUAAGUGUUGGGGGGUUUCCGCCCCUCAGUGCUGCAGCUAACGCAUUAAGCACUCCGCCUGGGGAGUACGGUCGCAAGACUGAAACUCAAAUGAAUUGACGGGG
RNAcentral lists this ribosomal RNA (397 nucleotides) under uncultured bacterium. Its description in RNAcentral is "partial 16S ribosomal RNA". It matches the Rfam family "Bacterial small subunit ribosomal RNA", at positions 523 to 918 of the family's 1533-position model. The record is from RNAcentral.